This 775-nucleotide ribosomal RNA is filed under the name uncultured Neocallimastigales. RNAcentral's name for it is "partial large subunit ribosomal RNA". It matches the Rfam family "Eukaryotic large subunit ribosomal RNA", at positions 24 to 616 of the family's 3401-position model. Lineage: Eukaryota; Fungi; Neocallimastigomycota; Neocallimastigomycetes; Neocallimastigales. The record is from RNAcentral.
GUAGUCUCGCACAGAUGCAUAUCAAUAAGCGGAGGAAAAGAAACUAACAAGGAUUCCCCUAGUAACGGCGAGUGAAGCGGGAAGAGCUCAAAUUUGAAAUCUUAAAGGGUUUCCCUUUACGAAUUGUAGUUUAAAGAAGUGUUUUCUGUUGAGGUUUUGGUAAAAGUUCUUUGGAAUAGGACACCAUAGAGGGUGAGAAUCCCGUAUUUGACCUUUACUUUCAACUUUGUGAUACACUUUCAAAGAGUCGGAUUGUUUGGGAAUGCAGUCCAAAAUGGGUGGUAAAUUUCAUCUAAAGCUAAAUAUUGGCGAGAGACCGAUAGCGAACAAGUACCGUGAGGGAAAGAUGAAAAGAACUUUGAAAAGAGAGUUAAACAGUACGUGAAAUUGUCAAAAGGGAAGCGUUUGACACCAGUGUUGUUUUUCUGAAAAUCAAUUAAAGAACUGUUUAUGCUAAGCUGUUUAGACUUUAUCAGCUAUCUGUUUAGUUUUGAGCUUUUCUUUAAUGCACUUUUCAGUUAACAAGUCAACAUCAAUUUCUUUUGCUGUAAAAAAGCUUGAGGAAGGUGGCUUGAGAUUCGUCUUAAGUGUUUAUAGCCUCUUGCCUAUGCAGUCGGAGAGAUUGAGGUCUGCAGCGUAGAUCCUUCGGGGCUAAAUGCAUUUGUGCUAAGUUAUAGCAUUUUCAUAGACAACUUGUUGACUAUGAUUUGUCUUGUAGCUUACUCGCUUAUGUUAUUUUACCUACGCUUAGGAUGUUGAGCGCAUGUCUCUCUCU